Molecule: ribosomal RNA, 24 nt
Filed under: Fomitiporia spinescens
Lineage: Eukaryota; Fungi; Basidiomycota; Agaricomycetes; Hymenochaetales; Hymenochaetaceae
Description: partial 28S ribosomal RNA
Source: RNAcentral
ACCCGCUGAACUUAAGCAUAUCAU